RNAcentral lists this ribosomal RNA (278 nucleotides) under Spumella-like flagellate JBM18. Its description in RNAcentral is "partial 28S ribosomal RNA". The record is from RNAcentral. Lineage: Eukaryota; Chrysophyceae.
UGAUUUUUGUUGAAAUCUUUGUUUUCGUUCGAGUUGGAUUCGAAAUGGACAGAAAGUCAAAUCCAAAAGCUCCCCCCUUUGCAAAUUGGGGGCGACGUGACUGCUUUUUUCUUUUCUUGUUUUCUGUUUCUGAAUUACUUUGCCAAACAACUUGAAAUUGAAUCUAGAUUCCAACAUAGUUUAACAACAAUCUCGUAACUGUCAAAUACAAAUUAUAAUCAUCUGUUCGGACCUCCAAUCAGUCAAGAAUACCCGCUGAAUUUAAGCAUAUCAAUAAG